AACGAACGCUGGCGGCACGCCUAACACAUGCAAGUCGAGCGCUUCACUUCGGUGAGGAGCGGCGGACGGGUUAGUAACGCGUGGGAACAUACCCUUUUCUAAGGAAUAGCCACUGGAAACGGUGAGUAAUACCUUAUACGCCCUUCGGGGGAAAGAUUUAUCGGUGAAGGAUUGGCCCGCGUUAGAUUAGUUUGUUGGUGGGGUAAUGGCCUACCAAGACUACGAUCUAUAGCUGGUUUGAGAGGAUGAUCAGCAACACUGGGACUGAGACACGGCCCAGACUCCUACGGGAGGCAGCAGUGGGGAAUCUUAGACAAUGGGCGCAAGCCUGAUCUAGCGAUGCCGCGUGAGUGAUGAAGGCCUUAGGGUCGUAAAGCUCUUUCGCCAGGGAUGAUAAUGACAGUACCUGGUAAAGAAACCCCGGCUAACUCCGUGCCAGCAGCCGCGGUAAUACGGAGGGGGUUAGCGUUGUUCGGAAUUACUGGGCGUAAAGCGUACGUAGGCGGAUCAGAAAGUAAGGGGUGAAAUCCCAGGGCUCAACCCUGGAACUGCCUCUUAAACUCCUGGUCUUGAGUUCGAGAGAGGUGAGUGGAAUUCCAAGUGUAGAGGUGAAAUUCGUAGAUAUUUGGAGGAACACCAGUGGCGAAGGCGGCUCACUGGCUCGAUACUGA
This 671-nucleotide ribosomal RNA is filed under the name Paracoccaceae bacterium. RNAcentral describes it as "bacterial SSU rRNA". It matches the Rfam family "Bacterial small subunit ribosomal RNA", at positions 28 to 743 of the family's 1533-position model. Lineage: Bacteria; Pseudomonadati; Pseudomonadota; Alphaproteobacteria; Rhodobacterales; Paracoccaceae. The record is from RNAcentral.